This 1210-nucleotide long non-coding RNA is filed under the name Salvator merianae (Argentine black and white tegu). Its description in RNAcentral is "lncRNA (ENSSMRG00000001416.1)". The record is from RNAcentral. Lineage: Eukaryota; Metazoa; Chordata; Lepidosauria; Squamata; Teiidae.
AAUGCUUCCCAGCUAUUGAACUGCGGCCUGGCCGGUCGCGCUUUUUUCAGGCCACCCUGUUCCUUUGCUUGUCAUCCUCAGUUCCUGGGCUUGGCUAACGCAAUUGUUCCCUAUUCACAGGACGUCUNUUUUGCUCCCUCCCCCUUCUUCCUUAUGCGCGUGUAUGUUUGUGAUCCUGACCUCAUGGACUUUGCUGCAGUGAGGCCGGUUCCAGCCCCUCCACACUUGGCAGGAAGAGAAGCAGCAACUCGUGAUAAUUGAAUUAUCGUUGUCGCUAUCGCCGUUGUGAAGAACACGCUCUCAAAUCAGAGCGAUGGCCUGGUUGUUUCCUGAGGAACCUGCCGGCGCCCUCCCGCUGGCGGCGAGCGCAGCGACGGUGGGCCUUUUCCCGGCUUGUAAUACUGCUUAAUAAGAAACAAAGCCAAGCGGAGCUUGGGAAAUGAUCGCGCCGCAGCUUCAGAGAGGGACGCAGAAAGGGCCUAGCAGGGUCCCACCUCCUGGGGGAGGAAGCUUCUUUCCGCGAGCAGGAUGACAAGCCGAGGAAGGAACGCGGCUGGAAGGACACGUCAAGUUAAGCCGACUUCAAGCCCGCUGGAACCCGCCCUGCUUCGUCUGAACUACUUUGUUAAUUAUUGCAGGAACGUUCACUGGGAUGUCCGUGGAAAUGCUCGGGAUCACCUGGCACUGGACGUCUGCGCUCCUCAGAAGAUUGCACCUUUAUGCCAGAGAAAACUGGCACGGGACGGGGAUGAGGGACGGACCUGGCCUUCUAUGCUUCUCCNGCCCAGGAGGAAAAGACAGGCAGACGGAGACAGCCGAGACCGCNAACGCUCCUUGGUCGCCAGUCUGCGCCUCGAAGUUUGUCCCAAUGGGAUUUCUUCCCAGACAGGAGUGCAUCCGACUGUUUUAAACAGCACCUUGUUGCAGUAUUUCAUCCCACAGANUUUCAUACCUCAGGACGAGCACCCAGCCAACCUAUAUACAGCUACAAUCAUAGUCGGGUUAAGUAUGUAUAUAGACGCAUAGUCGUCUUGCCUGACCGUCCAGCCGGAUGCGUCCCUUUCUCAAGAGACUGCGUUUUGCCUUGCGGGUNCGGCUACUUCUGGGAUAAAAUAUUCAGUUACACCCUGCCUCUGUGUCAAGCUGUACUUUCUAUUUUGCCUUUCAGUCUUUUUAAAAAAUCUCAUCAAGAGAAUCUUUUGGUGACCAG